RNAcentral lists this ribosomal RNA (345 nucleotides) under Triticum aestivum (bread wheat). RNAcentral's name for it is "partial small subunit ribosomal RNA". The record is from RNAcentral. Lineage: Eukaryota; Viridiplantae; Streptophyta; Magnoliopsida; Poales; Poaceae.
GUUUUUUUCAUUUGGACUGCCAUACUGGAAAGGAUCUUGACUGCGGAUGCCUUGCUCCGACGAGGCUGGGAAAAUAAUUACUUAUGUCCGCUAUGUGAGAGGAACCUCGAGACGCCUUUCCACCUUCUAGUUGACUGCCCUUGGUCCAGACUAAGCUGGGACGCGAUCGCUUCCCGAACAGGCCUACUUUUGCUAAAGCCGUUGUCCUGGAGCUUCAACAUCAACCAAUGGAUGAGCAGCUGUUUCCGAGAUGCGGCAACGGGCAAGCAAAAAGGAACACUGUCACUAAUGCACCUGAUGGCCUGGGAAAUUUGGCGCGAGCGUAACAGACGGCUUUUCAAGAUG